UACGUAGGGGGCCAGCGUUGCUCGGAAUUACUGGGCGUAAAGGGUCCGUAGGCGGUGUAGCAAGUCGAUAGUGAAAUCUCUGGGCUUAACCCAGAGGCUGCUAACGAAACUGCUGUGCUAGAGUGUGAGAGAGGCGAGUGGAAUUACGGGUGUAGCGGUGAAAUGCGUAGAUAUCGGGAAGAACACCCGUGGCGAAGGCGGCUCUCUGGGACGGUACUGACGCUGAGACGCGAAAGCGUGGGGAGCGAACAGG
Molecule: ribosomal RNA, 253 nt
Filed under: uncultured prokaryote
Description: partial 16S ribosomal RNA
Rfam family: Bacterial small subunit ribosomal RNA
Source: RNAcentral